Molecule: ribosomal RNA, 468 nt
Filed under: uncultured bacterium
Lineage: Bacteria
Description: partial 16S ribosomal RNA
Rfam family: Bacterial small subunit ribosomal RNA
Source: RNAcentral
GAUGAACGCUGGCGGCGUGCUUAACACAUGCCAGUCGAACGGAAAGGCCCAAGCUUGCUUGGGUACUCGAGUGGCGAACGGGUGAGUAACACGUGGGUGAUCUGCCCUGCACUUCGGGAUAAGCCUGGGAAACUGGGUCUAAUACUGGAUAGGACCACUUCUUGGAUGGUGUGGUGGAAAGUUUUUUCGGUGUGGGAUGAGCUCGCGGCCUAUCAGCUUGUUGGUGGGGUAAUGGCCUACCAAGGCGUCGACGGGUAGCCGGCCUGAGAGGGUGUACGGCCACAUUGGGACUGAGAUACGGCCCAGACUCCUACGGGAGGCAGCAGUGGGGAAUAUUGCACAAUGGGCGCAAGCCUGAUGCAGCGACGCCGCGUGGGGGAUGACGGCCUUCGGGUUGUAAACUCCUUUCGCUAGGGACGAAGCGUUUUUGUGACGGUACCUGGAGAAGAAGCACCGGCUAACUACGUG